Molecule: non-coding RNA, 54 nt
Submitted as: unclassified sequences
Source: Rfam
AUCGUUCAUCUCGAAAGAGACGGAAGUAGGUAAUGGUUACCGAAGGAACGCACC